GUAGGUGAACCUGCGGAAGGAUCAUUAACACGUAUCCAACGUUUAUCAACAAACCCGGUGUCAUAUGUUUUCAGCCCUUUCAUAACCCCAAUAACCCCUCCUUAUAUUAGUUGUCUGUUAUCUGUACUAUUUCUACUCUGGUUUACGCCGACGGCGAUAGUACACGUUUAUUUAUCUGAACGUUAAAAUACAACUCUUAGCAAUGGAUAUCUUGGUUCUC
This 220-nucleotide unclassified non-coding RNA is filed under the name rhizosphere metagenome. Its description in RNAcentral is "partial ribosomal RNA internal transcribed spacer region". The record is from RNAcentral.